Long non-coding RNA from Alosa sapidissima (American shad), 993 nucleotides. RefSeq lists it as uncharacterized. The record is from RefSeq and is a predicted model, not a curated record. The transcript is spliced from 6 exons. NCBI's taxonomy places the organism in Eukaryota, Metazoa, Chordata, Actinopteri, Clupeiformes, Clupeidae.
CAGGCAGCAACCAAUCAGCGGCUAGGUCCCGCCUUGAUGGGUGACUGAGGACGUACACUCAGCUCUAUGCACCAAUAUUAAUAGAGGAUGAUGACGACGAUGAUGAUGUUGAUGAUGAAGCAGGGGGUGUGUUUGCUGUGCCCUCACAUAAUGAAAGACCUGAGGACUCAGGUAUCUGCUGUUGAGCUGAUUAGGGAGUUGGCAUUGACCAUACCAUAGUAAACAGAUUCAACAUCACCAGGUCAAAUGUCUGGGAUGGUGCCUUGAGGGGGUUGAACGGUUCAACAUUUCAAGACAAAGCUGAUUUUUUUGUCAAAUUCAGCUAUGAUGCUGGGCUUUUCGAAGACAGCAUAGAUAUGAGGGGUCCAAAAAGAGAAUUUUUGUCUCUCAUUAUGAAUCACCUCCCAUCUAGGCCGAUUUUUGAUGGGCCACCCCAGCAUCGGUACCUUAUUUACAAUGCUCAAGCGAUCAAAGACGAUGAGUACUACUUGGCAGGGAAGUUGAUAUCUCUCUCUGUCAUUCACGGAGGACCAGGCCCGAAUUUCUUGGGGAACAGAUCUCUGCGAGUGUCCAGGAUGUAACAGACAGAGAGAUAGGGGGAGCUCUUUCAGAGAUUGAGACUGCUGGCUCUCUAGAGCGUUUACAAGAUCUCCUGGUGGUCCACAGCUCCAUGCUGCAGAUGGUGGGAUGCUUUAGACGUGUACAAGACAUGGAGGAGAGGCACGUCAUUGUGUCUGAGUACCUGAAAUGGUAUAUUAUUCAACGAAAUUGCAACGUCAUUGAUAGAUUUAAAGAGGGACUGGCACGUUUAAAUUUCCUGGAGGCACUGUGCCAGUACCCCACAGCGAUGGCCCCCAUCCUGCAACACACAACAAAGCGGUUGUCUCCAACCAUCAUUUAACAGCUUUUCACCCCAAACCUCAGCACAUAUGGCAGCAGCAGGAGAAAAUGUAGUUCUGACUUUCUGGGCUGACUACCUGCUGGACUGCGAAG